AGUGAACGCUGGCGGUAGGCCUAACACAUGCAAGUCGAACGGCAGCACAGUAAGAGCUUGCUCUUACGGGUGGCGAGUGGCGGACGGGUGAGGAAUACAUCGGAAUCUACUUUUUCGUGGGGGAUAACGUAGGGAAACUUACGCUAAUACCGCAUACGACCUACGGGUGAAAGCAGGGGAUCUUCGGACCUUGCGCGAUUGAAUGAGCCGAUGUCGGAUUAGCUAGUUGGCGGGGUAAAGGCCCACCAAGGCGACGAUCCGUAGCUGGUCUGAGAGGAUGACAGGCACACUGGAACUUGGAACACGUCCCGACCUCCUAGGGAGGCAGCAGUGGGGAAUAUUGGACAAUGGGCGCAAGCCUGAUCCAGCCAUACCGCGUGGGUGAAGAAGGCCUUCGGGUUGUAAAGCCCUUUUGUUGGGAAAGAAAAGCAGCAGGUUAAUACCCCGCUGUUCUGACGGUACCCAAAGAAUAAGCACCGGCUAACUUCGUG
This 491-nucleotide ribosomal RNA is filed under the name uncultured bacterium. Its description in RNAcentral is "partial 16S ribosomal RNA". It matches the Rfam family "Bacterial small subunit ribosomal RNA", at positions 29 to 507 of the family's 1533-position model. The record is from RNAcentral.